This 178-nucleotide ribosomal RNA is filed under the name uncultured Chlorobium sp. RNAcentral's name for it is "partial 16S ribosomal DNA". It matches the Rfam family "Bacterial small subunit ribosomal RNA", at positions 350 to 528 of the family's 1533-position model. Lineage: Bacteria; Pseudomonadati; Chlorobiota; Chlorobiia; Chlorobiales; Chlorobiaceae. The record is from RNAcentral.
UGGGAGGGCAAUAUUUGCGCAAUGGGCGAAAGCCUGACGCAGCAACGCCGCGUGGAUGAUGAAGUUCUUCGGAAUGUAAAAUCCUUUUGCAGAGGAAGAAAAUGCUGGUUUACCGGCACUGACGGUACUCUGCGAAUAAGCCACGGCUAACUCUGUGCCAGCAGCCGCGGUAAUAAAA